UAUGGGUAUAGAUGAUAUUCUCAAAGUUUAGUCUUAUGAGUAAAAACAAAGAAAAUUUACAUCCCAAUAACAAUAGAUUUUAAUAGAAUCUUAAAAUCAAUGAAAACUAAACUUUUCCAAUAACAAAAGAUUUUGAGUGGAAUUUAAAAGUCAUCAUCCCAAUAACAAUAGAUUCUAAUUAAAUUUUAAAAAUUCAUAAACCAAUAACAAUGGAAUCUCAAAAUUUAAUAACUCUUCUUGAAUUCUUCUACCAAUAAC
This 258-nucleotide long non-coding RNA is filed under the name Brassica napus (rape). Its description in RNAcentral is "long non-coding RNA (BNAP_LNC026270)". Lineage: Eukaryota; Viridiplantae; Streptophyta; Magnoliopsida; Brassicales; Brassicaceae. The record is from RNAcentral.